This 253-nucleotide ribosomal RNA is filed under the name uncultured bacterium. RNAcentral describes it as "partial 16S ribosomal RNA". It matches the Rfam family "Bacterial small subunit ribosomal RNA", at positions 524 to 776 of the family's 1533-position model. The record is from RNAcentral.
UACGUAGGGGACGAGCGUUAUCCGGAAUUAUUGGGCGUAAAGCGCACGCAAGCGGUCUGUCAAGUCUGACGUGAAAUAUCUUGGCUUAACUGGGAGCGGUCGUUGGAAACUGAUAGGCUUGAGGCGAUGAGAGGGGUGCAGAAUUCCUGGUGUAGUGGUGGAAUGCGUAGAGAUCAGGAGGAAUACCUGUGGCGAAAGCGGCACCCUGGUGUCGUUCUGACGCUCAUGUGCGAAAGCGUGGGGAGCGAACGGG